This 497-nucleotide ribosomal RNA is filed under the name uncultured bacterium. RNAcentral's name for it is "partial 16S ribosomal RNA". It matches the Rfam family "Bacterial small subunit ribosomal RNA", at positions 28 to 507 of the family's 1533-position model. The record is from RNAcentral.
GAUGAACGCUGGCGGCGUGCUUAACACAUGCAAGUCGAGCGAACGGACGAGGAGUUUGCUGCUUUGACGUUAGCGGCGGACGGGUGAGUAACACGUGGAUAAUCUACCUAUAAUACUGGGAUAAUCUCGGGAAACCGGAGCUAACACCGGAUAAUAUCUUGAACCGCAUGGGUCAAAAGUGAAAGACGGUCUUGCUGUCACUUAUAGAUGGAUCCGCGCUGCAUUAGCUAGUUGGUAAGGUAACGGCUUAGCAAGGCAACGAUGCAUAGCCGACGGCAGAGGCGGAUAGGCGGCAUGAGAGCUGGACCGGGGACAUGACGACUGCGAGAGGGCGCAGUAGGCAAUCUGCCGCAGUGGGGGAGAACAUGACGGAGCGGGGCGGAGUGUGUGGUGAAAGUGUUCGGUGCGUGAAGCUCUGUUACUGGGGGUAAACCGAUGUGGACGUUGCUGAGGCGUGAGUGACGGUAACUGGUCAAGAAGCCACGGCUAACUACGUG